RNAcentral lists this long non-coding RNA (835 nucleotides) under Citrus x clementina. RNAcentral describes it as "Citrus clementina (C. clementina) long non-coding RNA (CCLE_LNC002113)". The record is from RNAcentral. Lineage: Eukaryota; Viridiplantae; Streptophyta; Magnoliopsida; Sapindales; Rutaceae.
UUAGAAAGUAAUUUUAAGUGAAAAAAAUUUAGUCAAAUAGGAAAAUAACAAUAGAUUGCAAUCUAUUUUGGUAAGAUAGGAAGUGACAUAUAGAAAAUUAGAAAAGGGAAGAUUAAUUAUGAAUACAAGUAAUUUGUCCAAAAAAAUUAAGUGUGUUUAAUUCUUGUGUGAGGUUAUUUGAACCCACUAAAUUACUCGCUACACCCAUUUAGUAAAUAAACCCACCGUUAAGUUUUGAAAUUUCAAAUUUUACUUAACAAACCUACCUAAACGCCCAAUGUACCCUUAUUGAACCCAAUUAUUAUAAAUAUAUAUUUUUACUCAUUAAACCCAUUAAAUUCAUUUAAAAUAAAAAAAUAAUUAGAUUUAUUAAAUUGAAAACUAAAAGAUUAUACAGAAUAUAAACAAUACUCUCAAUUAUAUGUUUUGGAGCAAAAGUUGCAAAGUGCGGUAAGCAAAGCCAAAGCAAAAUGGCUGGAGCAGCUAAUAACGGUAAAAAGGGAGAGCCCCAGUCAAGUCGUCUACUACUUGAUUUUGGGAAAGAAGUGAUAAUUAUAUCACUGUCUUUUAUUUGGAAGUUGGAUGGAUAUGCUAUUGAAAGCGGCUAUGCUAGGAACAUAAUUAGAUGUCUGCCAAAAAAAACUUUGGUAUUAAUAAAAAUAAAAUCCAAUAUCUAGUAUUUCAAUCUGAAAAGUCUCCAGUAUUUCCUUCAAUUGAUUCUUCCUUUGUCUUCCUCGAGUUUAAUAUUGACGAGAAAGCCAAGGGAAAUCAAUAAAGAAUAUCAAUUUAGGGUUUAAGAAAAAUAAUAUAAAGUUGAAUGUAAAAUGGGUUCAAA